Molecule: ribosomal RNA, 434 nt
Filed under: uncultured bacterium
Lineage: Bacteria
Description: partial 16S ribosomal RNA
Rfam family: Bacterial small subunit ribosomal RNA
Source: RNAcentral
AGCGAACGCUGGCGGCAGGCCUAACACAUGCAAGUCGAACGAACCUUUCGGGGUUAGUGGCGGACGGGUGAGUAACACGUGGGAACGUGCCUUUAGGUUUGGAAUAACUCAGGGAAACUUGUGCUAAUACCGAAUGUGCUCUUCGGGGGAAAGAUUAAUCGCCUUUAGAGCGGCCCGCGUCUGAUUAGCUAGUUGGUUGAGGUAGUGGCUCACCAAGGCGACGAGCAGUAGAUGGUCUGAGAGGAUGAUCAGCCACAUUGGGACUGAGACACGGCCCAAACUCCUACGGGAGGCAGCAGUGGGGAAUCUUGCGCAAUGGGCGAAAGCCUGACGCAGCCAUGCCGCGUGAAUGAUGAAGGUCUUAGGAUUGUAAAAUUCUUUCACCGGGGACGAUAAUGACGGUACCCGGAGAAGAAGCCCCGGCUAACUUCGUG